AGCGAACGCUGGCGGCAGGCCUAACACAUGCAAGUCGAACGAACCUUUCGGGGUUAGUGGCGGAUGGGUGUGUCACCCGUCGGAACGGGCCCUCAGGGUUGGAAUAACUCAGGGAAACUUGUGCUAAUACCGAAUGUGCCCUUCGGGGGGAUGAUUUAUUGCCGUUAGUGGGGCCCGCGUCGGAUUAGCUAGUUGUUUCAGUUAAUGGUUCACCAAGGCGACGUUCGGUAGCUGGUCUGAGAGCGUGGUCAGCCACAUUGGGAGUGGGACCCGGCCCAGACUCCUACGGGAGGCGGCAGUGGGGGAUCUUGCGCAGUGGGCGAAAGGCUGACGCAGCCAUGCCGCGUGAAUGAUGAAGGUCUUAAGAUUGUAAAAUUCUUUCACCGGGGACGAUAAUGACGGUACCCGGAGAAGAAGCCCCGGCUAACUUCGUG
Molecule: ribosomal RNA, 434 nt
Filed under: uncultured bacterium
Lineage: Bacteria
Description: partial 16S ribosomal RNA
Rfam family: Bacterial small subunit ribosomal RNA
Source: RNAcentral